This 466-nucleotide ribosomal RNA is filed under the name uncultured bacterium. Its description in RNAcentral is "partial 16S ribosomal RNA". It matches the Rfam family "Bacterial small subunit ribosomal RNA", at positions 28 to 506 of the family's 1533-position model. The record is from RNAcentral.
GAUGAACGCUGGCGGCGUGCUUAACACAUGCAAGUCGAACGGUGAAGCAGAGCUUGCUCUGUGGAUCAGUGGCGAACGGGUGAGUAACACGUGAGCAACCUGCCCCUGACUCUGGGAUAAGCGCUGGAAACGGCGUCUAAUACUGGAUAUGAGCUGCGACCGCAUGGUCAGCAGUUGGAAAGAUUUUUCGGUCUGGGAUGGGCUCACGGCCUAUCAGCUUGUUGGUGAGGUAAUGGCUCACCAAGGCGUCGACGGGUAGCCGGCCUGAGAGGGUGACCGGCCACACGGGGACUGAGACACGGCCCAGACUCCCACGGGAGGCAGCAGUGGGGAAUAUUGCACAAUGGGCGAAAGCCUGAUGCAGCAACGCCGCGUGAGGGAUGACGGCCUUCGGGUUGUAAACCUCUUUUAGCAGGGAAGAAGCGAAAGUGACGGUACCUGCAGAAAAAGCGCCGGCUAACUACGU